Long non-coding RNA from Mytilus trossulus (common blue mussel), 615 nucleotides. RefSeq lists it as uncharacterized. NCBI's taxonomy places the organism in Eukaryota, Metazoa, Mollusca, Bivalvia, Mytilida, Mytilidae. The transcript is spliced from 3 exons. The record is from RefSeq and is a predicted model, not a curated record.
CUUAAAUUUCUACAGUCCAAAAUAUAAAAAUAAUAGAUAAAAAUUGGUGAAUAUUUUUUAUUUAUUAUUAUAUAUAUCUAAUAUUUAAGAUUUAGGUAAUUAAUAGUAUAAUUAGGGAAACAUUUCAAGGAAUCAAACAACUCCUCAAACAACCCCAACACUGGUCAGAUUCAAAAUUUGAACUUGCAGACAUUACAAGAAAAGAUGUCUUAUUUAUCUUGACCAAAAUAUGAAUUUUACCAUGGAUGUAGAGUUGUGGCCUAAAAAGAGCCAAAGUAUUCUAUUAACAUUAAAAAGUGCAGAUGUAUUAUUCUGAUGACAUAUAACUAUUGGAUUUGUGAAGAUUGAUGUUUUCAUAUAUUUUGGAUUAAAUCUUCUGAACUGCAUGGUGAAACAAAAGACAAUUGUUUUGUGAUAGGACUGAAGAAUGGACACAUUCAAUCAGACUUGGAGCAUCAUACGAAAGAAAUGGAAAGUUGUCCACUAGGUCAUCAACCAUCUGCCGAAGCCAAGAAAGGAACACAAUACAAGAUAGACGUCAGAUAGCAAUAAUGAACUUUGAACAUUUCCAAAAUGUUUAACUUAAAUUUACAUUAAAACAUAGUCUAAUUUUAA